CAGCCGCCGCGGUAAAACGGAGGGUGCGAGCGUUAAUCGGAAUAACUGGGCGUAAAGGGCACGCAGGCGGUGACUUAAGUGAGGUGUGAAAGCCCCGGGCUUAACCUGGGAAUUGCAUUUCAUACUGGGUCGCUAGAGUACUUUAGGGAGGGGUAGAAUUCCACGUGUAGCGGUGAAAUGCGUAGAGAUGUGGAGGAAUACCGAAGGCGAAGGCAGCCCCUUGGGAAUGUACUGACGCUCAUGUGCGAAAGCGUGGGGAGCAAACAGGAUUAGAUACCCCAGUAGUCCCUGUCUCUUAUAC
Molecule: ribosomal RNA, 301 nt
Filed under: uncultured bacterium
Lineage: Bacteria
Description: partial 16S ribosomal RNA
Rfam family: Bacterial small subunit ribosomal RNA
Source: RNAcentral